GUCGUUGUAGUAUAGUGGUGAGUAUCCCCGCCUGUCACGCGGGAGACCCGGGUUCGAUCCCCGGCAACCGGCG
This is a transfer RNA of Ipomoea nil (Japanese morning glory), 73 nucleotides long. It matches the Rfam family "tRNA". Rfam says of the family: Transfer RNA (tRNA) molecules are approximately 80 nucleotides in length. Their secondary structure includes four short double-helical elements and three loops (D, anti-codon, and T loops). NCBI's taxonomy places the organism in Eukaryota, Viridiplantae, Streptophyta, Magnoliopsida, Solanales, Convolvulaceae. The record is from Rfam.